UAAAAGGUGUGUGCUUUAGCUACGCGGGGUC
RNAcentral lists this non-coding RNA (31 nucleotides) under Mus musculus (house mouse). The record is from RNAcentral. Lineage: Eukaryota; Metazoa; Chordata; Mammalia; Rodentia; Muridae.